Molecule: long non-coding RNA, 1679 nt
Organism: Oreochromis aureus
Lineage: Eukaryota; Metazoa; Chordata; Actinopteri; Cichliformes; Cichlidae
Exons: 3
Source: RefSeq, a predicted model, not a curated record
CUUUGAUAGCUGCUAUUCUGUUAUUAUGAGAGUGUAUGGAUUAACAAUGGUCUAGAUAUGCAUACUGUAGCAUACUGUAGCUCCACUGUUACACCACCACCCACCAAGCUUCAAAGAUGGAGGCUAAUCUGAGGUGCUUACGCCUUGCUGGGAGAAUCUUUGCUCCACCAUUGUUGAGUGCUACAUAACCUGCCUCAUCGCUGAUCACCACCAUGAUAAGGUCUCUGUAUUAUCCCACGGGAGAGUCACAAAAGAAGGUUGGCUAUCGGAGCUCUGCAGUUACCACCUACUGUUAUUGUUAAAUGUGAAUGUGAGCCUGUGUUUAAAGAUUCUGCAAAGCAAUUCGGUAAUACAGUAUCAAGGAAUUGCACAAAAGAUCCCGAAGAUCUCAGUGCAGUAUUAAUGCAGUGUUCUUACAGGCAGCAGAGUUCUACUUUGAACUGCAGUGGUGAUUACGUGAUUCAUAAAGAUCUAUAAAACUGACAAUAAUUCAGUUUUAAACAGUAUGUUAAAGUGGAAAUGAAACACUACAUAUAUUAAGCCUAAUUUACACCAUGGCGCUUUACUGUAAAAAAAAAAAGGUCACAAAUUUAACACCGUCUGUGGAACUCGAUUUAAAAUAUAAGCGUUUUAAGUUACAGUUUUUAGAGCAUGUUUAAUGUCAUCUUGUCGAAGUGAAGAACAUGAAGUCACUAGUUUGGUAGUCCUACAUUCAGUUAUGUUAGCUAACUACUGACAGAACCAAAAACAAAAUAAUAUUGAAAACAAGAAAAUUAAAAUGGAAAAGACUUAUGAAAAGACUGUCCACUUUCACUCUUUGUCUCUUAGUCCACUGAAACAGGCCUGUUGGCUGUAAUUCUUGGGUUUGUAGAGCAGUUUAUGAAUGCUGGCUGCUGUCCCCUCUGUGUUUUCCUUGUCGUGUCAGAUGUACGGAAAAAGUUUAAGAGCAUAUGUCUACAAGAUGUGUCAAUCACUAUUUCAUGCAAUUUGUUAUUUAAUCCCCAGUUAUAUCAGGAUUAAGUCUUCCUUUCCCCCAAGCACACCCAACCAGUUAACAACAUAAUAUUAUAUAGCAUAUAAUAGGCUACUGCCAGUGUUGGAUAUGACAUGUUAUAGUAACGUAUUACUGUGAUCACUUGACAUUUGUCAGUAACAUAUUACUGUACUAAAUUUAGUAGUUACAUUACAGUUACACUUAUGUUGUUACUACAAAGGUUCUUCAGUUGUCUUCCUGCAAACUUGCGUUACAAUCAGCUAAUUUUAGUUCAUGUGUGUGAGGAGUAAAAUGGUGGAGCAAUACAGCAAUACAGCUACUGAGGAUUGGAGAUAAGGAUAAGAGCGCAAAGCUAAAUUGGAAGCUAAAAAUGCUAACAGCUCUUUGUUUCUUUGCAAGCAUGUGCACAGACAGCAUGCUAACGCUAGUGCUAACCCAGUGUGAUUUUAAAGCUGAGUGCAUGCACAUGCCAGCUCAGCAGUCAGAGACUCAUUCUUCUGCACUUCACUUCUUCCACACUUCACUUCUGCAGGUAACAAAAGCAGUGAUGAGCAGUCAGGCUUGUAGCCUCCGUUUCUACCUGUUAAUGUUUGUAGCGUAGAAUCACUGUGGCGAUCACUUUGAAGUCUCUGGUCUGGUUUUUGUCUUUGUGUUGUCAGCUUUGUGUUCAUACAUAAAUACUAAG